CAACCAGUUGUCAUUGUUAAAGACAUUACUGUAAACCCAUCCAUAUAAGUGGAGAACCUUUACUGCGACCUAAAUGAACCGAGUUCAUAGUUCAGGCGUUCAAUUUGAAUAAAUCGAUUAAAUCAAGGUUGGUGUGUCUGCCAUCCUUGUGCAAACUGUGACAGUCGUACACCAUCACACUGUUCACAGCUAAUUAUUUGGUAAUCCUUCAUUUUCUGCAGGCUUGAGUUGAGAGCUUGGGUCUGAUUUACCAGCUGUUAAGCCAAACAAAAAAGAGAUACAUAUCUAUAGACAUAUACUUAUAUGUAUAUAUGCAUAUGUGUAUGUGUGUGUGUGUGUGUGUGUGUGGUGUGUGUGUAUAUAUAAAAAAUACAGUGAUGUGUUCAGGAUUUAUCUUUUGAACACGUAAAGCAUUCUAGGCUUGAAAAAAACUAGUAUGUAACUGUCCUACUAAUGAGUAUCCAUGAAAAUACUGAUGCUGGUGUUUCCCUAAGCAAAGUUUGUAUUUGCAGUGCAGUGAGAUACUCAGCUACGUGCCCUAAGUAACAUCACAAAAUCUUGGAGAAUGCCUUAUCACCCAAACAGUACCAUAACAUGUACAGGGUUUGGUAGAGUUCUGAGGAAAAAUGCAUGUACCUACAACAUCAUGUAACUUCAUUAGAGACUUAGAGUGCUGGAAUGGCUUAACUUUCUUAUAGCUGCCUUUGUAACCUCCAAACUUUACUUCUUACUUUUCUUUGCUAUAAUUCAGUUUUAUUUGCCUUGGGAACAGUGCAGCCUUUGCUAGCAACAAAUAUUUUGGGCAACUAAAGAAUCUGUUUGAACUACUGUAAAAACAAAUAUUGUGUAUUAACUCAUUAAAUGGCAGGUGUACAUAUAUAAACAACAUCUGGACAGUUUCAUUUCUCUGGAGUACUGAACAUAGCUACACCACAAAUUGGAAGACGGAUGAGGAAGAAAAGAGGGAAGAGAAGGGAAGAAGAGGGAAGAGAAGGGAAAAAAUCACCUCUCACAAUCCUCAAGGUCUUGUCCAUUAUAAGGAAGGAGAAAUUGGUGGUGAAUGCAGUCAGUCAUUUCCCUGAUGCAGCCCAGUGUGUCUACAGAGAACAAAGUCCUGCUUUCCAGCUCAGACGAAAUGAGAUUCUGGGUGACCUGUGUUUUGGGCUAUGGCUUCAUUCCCCUUGUUCCAGAUAGAAGCAUAACUGCUGCUACACUUAUGCAGACUCCACCCACGAUUUGUACAAGUGCAGCUGCAAGAGCAGCCCGGUUACGUACUUCACUACGGUGAGCAAAAUCAAAGCAAAGAUGCUAUAGCUGAGAUGACAUAAAUUGAUAUAACUUUUCUGACUUAAAUUUUGCUAAACCAGUUUAGAUCUAGCUGUCUGAGAAGACUUUCUAUCCUUGAUCUAUCCUUGAUUUCAUCAAGUACCCUGAAUUAAGAAACCGGGCCACCUUAUUUCUCUCCCAUUCCUAAUUAUCUGAAGGUUCAACCAGUGUUUUCUACAAAAGGAUGCAUAAACAAACCAUAAGGUCAGGUCAUCCUGUUUGGAAACUUGCUGCCCCGGUGAUCGGAUCUGCCCUGGAAUCCUUGUCCUUUCUUUUCCUUUUGGGAACAAAAACCCUGAAUGCUCAGCAUCAUUUAUGAUGCAACACACUCAGAAUCCUGUUUUGUCUUCAGUUAGAUUUAUUAAUAAAUUUUCUAAAAGCAAGCCUUUGUAAGGCUCU
Molecule: long non-coding RNA, 1725 nt
Organism: Struthio camelus australis
Lineage: Eukaryota; Metazoa; Chordata; Aves; Struthioniformes; Struthionidae
Source: Ensembl